GUUACGGGCUAAGGGUGGAUGCCUUGGGAGGAGGUGGCGAUGAAGGACGCGGCUAGGCUGCGAAAAGCCUGGGGGAGGCGCCUAGCAGCCGUUGAUCCCAGGAUUUCCGAAUGGGGUAACCUGUCCUAACGAUAAGUUAGGACAUCCAGAGGGAUUAGCUCCUCUGGAGGCGGACCCGGGGAAGUGAAACAUCUCAGUACCCGGAGGAAAAGAUACCAAUUCGGUAUUCCCUGAGUAGCGGCGAGCGAAAAGGGAAAAGCCCAAACGCGAGCUCCAUAAGGAGCAAGCGGGUUAAAGGGCCAAAGCGUUCUCUUUAAAAAAGUUUUUGAUCCUGGUGCAUGGGAUCAAACUUUUUUAAAGAGAGGUAGGGUUACAAAAGAAAUCGUUAGCCGAAAGCGCUGGAAAGCGCUGCCAAAGAGGGUGAAAGCCCCGUAGGCAAAAACGAUUUCUCCCUACUGCUUUGGUUCCUGAGUACCCCGAGGAAUGAUAACCUUGGGGGAAAUUGCCGGAACCAACCGGUAAGGCUAAAUACACCUCCUCACCGAUAGUGCACCUAGUACCGCGAGGGAAAGGUGAAAAGCAGGCCGGAAGGCCGGUGAAAUAGAACCUGAAACCCUUAGCCUACAAAGAGCACAAGCCCGUAAGGGUGAGUGCGUGCCUAUUGAAGAAUGAGCCGGCGAGUUUGGGAUGCUCGCUUGGUUAAGGCCAGUCAAGGCCGAAGCCAAAGGGAAACCGAUUUGGUCUGAAAAGGGCCAAAUUAAGUGGGCAUCCCAAGACCCGAAGCCAGACGAUCUACCCGUGGCCAGGGUGAACUUCACCGAAAGGUGGGGGGAGGCCCGAACCCGUGGGUUUCGCAAAACCUUGGGAUGAGCUGCGGGUAGGAGUGAAAAGCUUAUCGCGUCUGGGAAUAGCUGGUUCUCCCCGAAAUAGCUUUAGGGCUAGCGGACGUUAAUAGCCUCUUGGAGGUAGAGCACUAAUAAGUUGGUAAAGGGCGAAAGCCCAGCCAACUUAUUAAACUCCGAAUUCCAAGAGGUGUUCCGUCUAGUCAGCCCAUGGGGGAUAAGCUCCAUGGACAAGAGGGGAACAACCCAGAUUCCCAGCUAAGGCCCCAAAAUCCCAGCUAAGUAGGAAAGGUAGUAUCUCUCCUAUGACAACUAGGAGGUUGGCUUAGAAGCAGCCAUCCUUUAAAGAGUGCGUAACAGCUCACUAGUCGAGGAGAGAUGCACCGAAACAUUUACGGGUUUAAGCUGGGUGCCGAAGCUGGAAUCUAGGAAGCUUUUUGCUUCCUAGAGGUAGGGGAGCAUUCCAUUCGCGUUGAAGGUCCAUCCGCGAGGAGGACUGGAGCGAAUGGAAGAGAGAAUGCCGGCAUGAGUAACCGCAAAUCGCCUGAGAUGGGCGAUCGCCGUAAGGGCAAGGUUUCCUUGGCAAUGGAAAUCAGCCAAGGGUUAGGCGGGACCUAAGGUAAACCCGAAAGGGGUAGUCGAUGGAUAGCCGGUUAAUAUUCCGGCCCCACUCUUUGAUUCCGAUGGGGUGACGAGGGAUAUAAGGAGAGGAGAGGUAAUGGUUACUCUUCUUCCUUAAACUAGAGGGCGAGGUAGAGCAAAUCUCUACCUCUAGGGUCAAGAGCCCAGCCCUCGAUUAAGGAAGGAAGUCUUCUUUUAGAAGACAACCUCUCCGAAGAGCCCUCCAAGAAAAGCCUCUAAGGAUAAAUCAAAGAGUGCCCGUACCGGAAAACCGACACAGGUGCCCGAGGCGAGUAGCCUAAGGCGAACGGGUGAUCCCUCCUCAAGGAACUCGGCAAAAAAGCGGGCGUAACUUCGGGAGAAGCCCUCCCUGUAGUAUGCCAAAAGCAUACUCCAGGGCGCAGCGAACGUCUCCCUGGCGACUGUUUACCAAAAACACAGCUCCCUGCUUAACUGGUAACAGGAAGUAUAGGGGGUGACGCCUGACCGAUGCCGGAAGGUUAAAGCAUCAGGGUAGUUACUGAAGUAGCUUAGCUAUUUCAGUAACUGCUCAUGGUGCUAAGCCCCGGUCAAUGUCGGCCCUAACCCUGAGGGUUGAUCCAAAGCGGAUUGGGCCCUCAUAAAAUCCAGCUAUAUGCUGGGACACCUCGAUAGUCGGUCAUUACCGAGUUUUAACUUGCUAAGCCAAAAGUCCCAAGAUGGGCUAGCUUAGCGAGAAGGUGAAAAAAUGAUACGUAGAGGCAACCAGCAGGAAAGGCUUUCUACUAGAGAUAGGCUUGGGUAUUUUUUAGCAGGCUUUGUUGAAGGAGAAGGAAGUUUCACGGUUCAAGUAAGGUUUCAUCCUGGAACCAAAUUUGGUAUAGCAAUUGAUCCUGAGUUUUACUUAUACCAACACCAGAAAAGAAAAAAAAUUUUAGAACUUGCUCAAGAAUUCUUUCAAACAGGUAAAAUAUGGAAAAAACCUGGAACAGAAAAUGUGCUGGUUUAUGGUAUAAAAUCAAGAAGAAGUAUAAUCGAAAAAGUUGUGCCUUUUGUUGAAAAAUAUUUGCUACCUUAUACUUCAAGAAAAGAGCAAAUAGAAUUUUUUUUAAAUGUUUUGAAAAUGCUUGAAGAAAAAAAGCAUCAUACAAAAGAAGGAAUUUUGGAAAUUGUUGAUUAUCUCUAUUCUACAGAAAGAAAAUUUAAAAUACCCAAGUCUACACUAGUAGAAAGAAUCCUCAGAGGCCAUACGCUGGACAGGUCAUAAAGGAAAAUAUAGGGAACUAAGAUUGUCCUUUAUGGCCUGAAGAUAUGGUCCAGCCCCUAUGGUGACAUAGGGAUAAGCUGCCGAAGGUAGCGCAAUUCCUUUCCGGGUAAGUUCCGGAGCGCAUGAAAGGCGUAACGACUGGGGAACUGUCUCGAGGAGGGGCCCGGUGAAAAUGCAAUCCCCGUGAAGAUGCGGGGUGCGGGCAACGGGACGGAAAGACCCCGGGAGCUUUACUGGGCUCACUCAUUGGUUUUGGUUAGAUGAUGCAUAGUGUAGCGGGGAGGCUAUGAAGCUCUGCUUUCGGGCAGAGUGGAGCCGUCAAUGGAACACCCGCCUUCAUCUAGCUGAAACCUAACCCAUUUAGCUAAAAUGGGAACAGUGAGUGGGGGCCAGUUUCACUGGGGCGGUGGCCUCCUAAAAAGUAACGGAGGCGUCCAAAGGUCGGCUUGUCCUGGAUGGAAACCAGGAUGAAAGUGUAAAGGCAAAAGCCGGCCUGACUGCAAGGCUGACAAGCCGAGCAGAGGCGAAAGCCGGGCUUAGUGACCCGACGGCCCUUUUUGGAAAGGCCGGAGACAACGGAUAAAAGUUACCCCGGGGAUAACAGGCUGGUGUGGCCCGAGAGUCCACAUCGACGGCCACGCUCGGCACCUCGAUGUCGGCUCACCCUAGCGCGGGGCUGAAGAAGGUCCCAAGCGUCGGGCUGUUCGCCCGUUAAAAGGGUACGUGAGCUGGGUUCAGACCGUCGUGAGACAGGUCGGUCCAUAUCUGUUGCCCGCGUUUGGAAGCCUGAGGGGAGCUGGUCCUAGUACGAGAGGACCGGACUGGGGCAGCCUCUGGUGUACCAGUUGUUCCUCCAGGAGCAUCGCUGGGUAGCUAUGCUGCCACGGGAUAAGCGCUGAAAGCAUCUAAGCGCGAAACCCACCCCAAGAUUAGGCUUCCUUUAUUAGCCCCCAGGAAGAUCACCUGGUUGAUAGGCCCCUACUGGAAGCUCGGCAACGGGUUGAGGUUAGGGGUACUAAUGGGCAAA
RNAcentral lists this ribosomal RNA (3736 nucleotides) under bacterium HR35. Its description in RNAcentral is "bacterial LSU rRNA". It matches the Rfam family "Bacterial large subunit ribosomal RNA". The record is from RNAcentral.